UGUGUCACUGAUGUAGAAGAGUGGGUCCUA
This 30-nucleotide non-coding RNA is filed under the name Homo sapiens (human). The record is from RNAcentral. Lineage: Eukaryota; Metazoa; Chordata; Mammalia; Primates; Hominidae.